Molecule: ribosomal RNA, 468 nt
Filed under: uncultured bacterium
Lineage: Bacteria
Description: partial 16S ribosomal RNA
Rfam family: Bacterial small subunit ribosomal RNA
Source: RNAcentral
GACGAACGCUGGCGGCGUGCUUAACACAUGCAAGUCGAACGGAAAGGCCCUGCUUUUGUGGGUUGCUCGAGUGGCGAACGGGGGAGUAACACGUGAGUAACCUGCCCUUGACUUUGGGAUAACUUCAGGGAACUGGGGCGAAUACCGGAUAGGAUCUCCUGCUGCAUGGUGGGGGUUGGAAAGUUUCGGCGGUUGGGGAUGGACUCGCGGCUUAUCAGCUUGUUUGUGGGGUAGUGGCUUACCACGGCUUUGACGGGUAGCCGGCAUGAGAGGGUGACCGGCCACAUUGGGACUGAGAGACGGACCAGAAUCCUACGGGAGGCAGCAGUGGGGAAUAUUGCACAAUGGGCGGACGCCUGAUGCAGCAACGCCGCGUGCGUGAUGACGGCUUUCGGGUUGUAAACCGCUUUCGAAUGUGCCGAAGCGUGCGUGACGGUAAUGGGUCAAGAAGCACCGGCUAACUACGUG